Molecule: long non-coding RNA, 605 nt
Filed under: Vulpes vulpes (red fox)
Lineage: Eukaryota; Metazoa; Chordata; Mammalia; Carnivora; Canidae
Description: lncRNA (ENSVVUG00000027787.1)
Source: RNAcentral
AAAAUUAAUAGACUAAUAUGGCAAAUACAAUUUUUCUUCUUUCUUGUCUCUUUUUUUCUUCAGGUUAAAGGUGUGACAGAUUCAAAAUUCUACAUUCUAAGCAUUCCUGUUAUCUUUGUUUCCUGUGUUGCCUUCCUGUGGCCAGAGGUGCAAAAUGGUUAUCUAAGAAGGAAAUGAGCAGACAAGGCUACUGGGUGAUUCACAAUGAACUGUAAAGUCAUCACAGUUUGUAUUUGCCAUCAUGGAGUUGAUGAAUAUCUGAAGAUCACCUUGAGGGUUGAGAGAAGUUUCUAGCUUUGUUGCAAUGGGGACCUGGAGCUGUACCCCCACCUGUCCCAGAAAGUGGAGAAGCUGCAGUAAGAAGUCCUGUGGAAGGUAGAGAAGGUGUGUGUCCUCCUGCUGCCCUCAUCAACAAGCUGAGCCAGUGGAGCUUAACAGACCUGUGAGAGCUCCAAGACCUGGCCUAUAUCCACCUCCAAACAGUAGACAUGGCUUCUCUUCACACAUCAUUCUCCUCUGGCCAACCCUAAUCAGAGACAUAUAAGGAAUUAAACUCUGAGAAACCUUGUUUGGUUUAAGCAAGUUGAAAUAUUAUAAAGAUGUUG